UUACGCUGUUAUCCCUAAGGUAACUUUUUCUUUUGCUCAGAAACUUCUGGGUCCAUUAGACUCAAAUCAUUAUAUUAAUCCCCUGUUAUAAAAGAGGGGAGGUUGCCCCAACCAAACCUAGGUAAAGCUCUAUAGGGUCUUCUUGUCCCACUUACUAAUUAAGGCCUCUUCACCUUAAAAUCAAUUUCGAGUUAAAUAAAGAGAGACAGUCUCUCUGUCGUCUAGCCGUUGAUACUAGCCUGCAAUUAACAGGCGAAUGAUUAUGCUACCUUUGCACAGUCAGUAAUACUGCAGCCGUUUAACUAUUGUCACCG
Molecule: ribosomal RNA, 314 nt
Filed under: Amphipholis squamata
Lineage: Eukaryota; Metazoa; Echinodermata; Ophiuroidea; Amphilepidida; Amphiuridae
Description: partial 16S ribosomal RNA
Source: RNAcentral